GACGAACGCCGGCGGCGUGCUUAACACAUGCAAGUCGAACGAUGAACCGGUUUCGGCCGGGGAUUAGUGGCGAACGGGUGAGUAACACGUGGGCAAUCUGCCCUGCACUCUGGGAUAAGCCCGGGAAACUGGGUCUAAUACCGGAUACGACACUCCGAGGCAUCUUGGGGUGUGGAAAGUUCCGGCGGUGCAGGAUGAGCCCGCGGCCUAUCAGCUUGUUGGUGGGGUAAUGGCCUACCAAGGCGACGACGGGUAGCCGGCCUGAGAGGGUGACCGGCCACACUGGGACUGAGACACGGCCCAGACUCCUACGGGAGGCAGCAGUGGGGAAUAUUGCACAAUGGGCGAAAGCCUGAUGCAGCGACGCCGCGUGAGGGAGGACGGCCUUCGGGUUGUAAGCCUCUUUCAGCAGGGAAGAAGCGAAAGUGACGGUACCUGCAGAAGAAGCACCGGCUAACUACGUG
RNAcentral lists this ribosomal RNA (464 nucleotides) under uncultured bacterium. RNAcentral describes it as "partial 16S ribosomal RNA". It matches the Rfam family "Bacterial small subunit ribosomal RNA", at positions 28 to 507 of the family's 1533-position model. The record is from RNAcentral.